AUGAAGUUGGAAUCGCUAGUAAUCGCGAAUCAGAAUGUCGCGGUGAAUACGUUCCCGGGUCUUGUACACACCGCCCGUCACACCACGAGAGUUUACAACACCCGAAGUCAGUGGCCUAACCGNAAGGAGGGAGCUGCCUAAGGUGGGGUAGAUGAUUGGGGUGAAGUCGUAACAAGGUACC
Molecule: ribosomal RNA, 181 nt
Filed under: uncultured bacterium
Lineage: Bacteria
Description: partial 16S ribosomal RNA
Rfam family: Bacterial small subunit ribosomal RNA
Source: RNAcentral